RNAcentral lists this ribosomal RNA (501 nucleotides) under uncultured bacterium. RNAcentral's name for it is "bacterial SSU rRNA". It matches the Rfam family "Bacterial small subunit ribosomal RNA", at positions 8 to 481 of the family's 1533-position model. The record is from RNAcentral.
AGAGUUUGAUCAUGGCUCAGAACGAACGCUGGCGGCGUGCCUAACACAUGCAAGUCGCACGAGAAAUCAUGCCUUCGGGCAUGAGAGUAAAGUGGCGCACGGGUGAGUAACGCGUAGGUAACCUGCCCUUGGGUCUGGGAUAACUCGCCGAAAGGCGGGCUAAUACCGGAUAACAUCAGGCAGAGGGAUCUGUCUGAUCAAAGGUGGCCUCUCCAUGGAAGCUGCUGCCUGAGGAUGGGCCUGCGUCCCAUUAGCUAGUUGGUAGGGUAAUGGCCUACCAAGGCUACGAUGGGUAGCUGGUCUGAGAGGAUGAUCAGCCACACUGGAACUGGAACACGGUCCAGACUCCUACGGGAGGCAGCAGUGAGGAAUAUUGCGCAAUGGGGGAAACCCUGACGCAGCGACGCCGCGUGGGUGAAGAAGGCCUUCGGGUCGUAAAGCCCUGUCUGGAGGGAAGAAACUCCCGGCGGAAUAAUACCCGCCUGGGACUGACGGUACCUC